CCACGGCUGGAACUGUUGAAACAUUCCAAGAGAUAAAAACAAAGACCUCCUCCUCCUGUCCUCCAUCCUACUGAGGCUGCCUGACCAACUUUAUAAAUGUUCCUUCACAAAUGAUGAAGUUGCAUUGUGAUAAGCUGAAAGCAUUGGGAGAUGAAGACUUAGUUAACACAUGUGACCUACUGAACAUGGUAGCUCACUAAUGCAGUAUGCCACUGCAGUAUGUUUCUGCUGGAGAGAGCUGUGCCAACCGGGUGUUCCUAGCACUGUAGGAGAGCACCACACAGCAUAUUACCAGUCCAGAAAAAGAGCAAAACUCAAGUGAUGGAGAUGAAAUCUAGGAUCUACUGCAUGUUGGGCAAGGACUACAUCAUUGGAUUGUUCCUUUCCACUACCAUAUGGUUUGUUAUUUUUAAACUCAGUAUAGACUUUGAAAGACCAUUUUUCCACAUACAUGUGUACAACUCAUGUGAACUUCUGUGGUUUUUUCAUUGCCAUGUUAAUGAACAUUUAGGUUG
This is a long non-coding RNA of Mesocricetus auratus (golden hamster), 515 nucleotides long. RefSeq lists it as uncharacterized. NCBI's taxonomy places the organism in Eukaryota, Metazoa, Chordata, Mammalia, Rodentia, Cricetidae. The record is from RefSeq and is a predicted model, not a curated record. The transcript has 3 exons.